This 2470-nucleotide long non-coding RNA is filed under the name Lathyrus oleraceus (garden pea). Its description in RNAcentral is "Pisum sativum (pea) long non-coding RNA (PSAT_LNC040106)". Lineage: Eukaryota; Viridiplantae; Streptophyta; Magnoliopsida; Fabales; Fabaceae. The record is from RNAcentral.
AAAAGAAAAAAAGAAAAAAGAAUAAUUACAAGAAAAUGAAAAAGAAAAAAAGAAAAUAGAAUAAUUACAAGACAAUGAAAAUGAGACCGUAUGUAUUAAAGGAAACUAACCCAAUCAUUUAUCUAGUGUUACAUUAGCACCAACUUUAUUAUUGUGAGAUCCUCAUAAUCCUAACAAACAUCUUAAUCUCAUCAAAACAAUAUGAAAAACCCUAUCAUAAUCCUUGGUGAUGCAAGUAUAAAAUUGAAAAUAAGAGGAAACACAGAUGAAUAGAGUGACAAAAUAAACAAGUUAGAGAUGUGUAACCUUCAAAAGACUAACCUAUAUCAGAAAUCAAUUGUUUCGUACAUUUGAUAGAUAAGAAAGAAAAUUACUCAUAAAAGAUAGAAAAAAAAGGAAAAAAUGACAAUUUUUCUGCAGUACGUAUUUUUUUACCCUUUGUAUUUUGUUUAUACAAUCAUAGAGUGAUUAUGAACCAGAGAUUUCUAUUAAAUAUUUUAAGCUAAAUGAUUAUAUUAAGUAAAUCCUCAGUUAUAUAAAUCAAUCAAACAUUUAUUGAGUAACAAACCUAGACAUUAAUUAGUCUAUAAAGAUAUGUAUUGAACAUCAAAAUUAAUUAAAUAUAUACUUAUAUGCUAAAGAACAUAAAAUGUCAUCUUCUAUAUUCUGAUAAUUAAACGAUUAACAUAAGUUAUAUAGAUUAAAAUAUAUGCUAAAAUACUAAUUAUAAGUAGAAAAUGAAAAAGAAAAAAAGAAAAAAGAGUAAUUACAAGAAAAUGAAAAAGAAAAAAAGAAAAUAGAAUAAUUACAAGACAAUGAAAAUGAGACCAUAUGUAUUAAAGGAAACAAACCCAAUCAUUUUUCUAGUGUUAAAUUAGCACCAACUUUAUUAUUGUGAGAUCCUCAUAAUCCUAACAAACAUCUCAAUCUCAUCAAAACAAUACGAAAAACCCUAUCAUAAUCAUUGGUGAUGCAAGAAUAAAAUUGAAAAUAAGAGGAAACACAGAUGAAUAGAGUGACAAAAUAAACAAGUUAGAGAAAGGUAACCUUCAAAAGAUUAACCUAUAUCAGAAAUCAAUUGUUCUGUACAUUUGAUAGAUAAGAUAGAAAAUUACUCAUAAAAGAUAGAAAAAAAAAGGAAAAUAUGACAAUUUUUCAGCAGUACGUAUUUUUUUACCCUUUGUAUUUUUUUUAUACAAUCAUAAAGUGAUUAUGAACCAGAGAUUUCUAUUAAAUAUUGUAAGCUAAAUAUUUAUAUUAAGUAAAUCCUCAAUUAUAUAAAUCAAUCAAAAAUUUAGUGAGUAACAAACCUUGAAAUUAAUUAAUUUAGAAUGAUAUGUAUUGAACAUCAAAAUUAAUUAAAUAUAUACUUAUAUCCUAAAGAACAUAAAAUGUCAUCUUUUAUAUUCUGAUAAUUAAACGAUUAACAUAAGUUAUAUAGAUUAAAAAAUAUGCUAAAAUACUAAUUAUAAGUAGAAAAAGAAAAAGAAAAAAAGAAAAAAGAAUAAUUACAAGAAAAUGAAAAAGAAAAAAAGAAAAAUGAAUAAUUACAAGACAAUGAAAAUGAGACCGUAUAUAUUAAAGGAAACCAACCCAAUCAUUUAUCUAGUGUUACAUUAGCACUAACUUUAUUAUUGUGAGAUCCUCAUAAUCCUAACAAACAUCUUAAUCUCAUCAAAACAAUAUGAAAAACCCUAUCAUAAUCAAUGGUGAUGCAAGAAUAAAAUUGAAAAUAAGAGGAAACACAGAUGAAUAGAGUGACAAAAUAAACAAGUUAGAGAUGUGUAACCUUCAAAAGAUUAACCUAUAUCAGAAAUCAAUUGUUCCGUACAUUUGAUAGAUAAGAAAGAAAAUUACUCAUAAAAGAUAGAAAAAAAAGGAAAAUAUGACAAUUUUUCAGCAGUACGUAUUUUUGUACCCUUUGUAUUUUGUUUAUACAAUCAUAAAGUGAAUAUGAACCAGAGAUUUCUAUUAAAUAUUGUAUGCAAAAUAAUUAAAUUAAGUAAAUCCUCAAAUAUAUAAAUAAAUCAAACAUUUAUUGAGUAACAAACCUUGACAUUAGUUAGUUUAGAAAGAUAUGUAUUGAAAAUCAAAAUUAAAUAAAUAUAUACUUAUAUCCUAAAGAACAUAAAAUGUCAUCUUUUAUUUUUUGAUAAUUAAACGAUUAACAUAAGUUAUAUUGAUUAAAAAAUAUGCUAAAAUACUAAGUAUAAGUAGAAAAUGAAAAAGAAAAAAAAAGAAAAAAGAAUAAUUAUAAGAAAAUGAAAAAGAAAAAAAUAAAAUAGAAUAAUUACAAGACAAUGAAAAUGAGACCGUAUGUAUUAAAGGAAACCAAUCCAAUCAUUUUUCUAGUGUUACAUUGGCACCAACUUUAUUAUUGUGAGAUCCUCAUAAUCCUAACAAACAUCUCAAUCUCAUCAAAACAAUACGAAAAACCCUAUCAUAAUCAUUGGUGAUGCAAGAAUAAAAU